UUCUUGUACGAACAUCAAUUUCAGUGGGGAUCCAGUAUAUAUGUACAUUCUGCAUCCACUCAAUCCCUAUCGCCUGCCAUCCUUAAUUUAUGUGUUUACUCUUUACAGUACUUUGGAUUAUUUACUGUUAAAUAAUCUUAGGACAUUACAUAAAAACUUCAACAUAAACUGUUAAUUAAUUUUGCGGUAGUACAGUACUACUGUCGAAGUAGUACCAAUUUCUGAUUUGUACGUGGGGCCUGAGUUUACUUGGAAUAAUUAACCAUAAUAUUGUAACCAUACUCUUUUGUAAAUGUUGCUGAUUAUUAUUAUUAUUAUUUAUUUAUUUGAAUAAAAAAAAGAGUUACAUGGGAUAAAUAUAGCUGAUUUAUUUGUCAAACCAAUUAAAUCAUCUUAUAUGAACCUAAACUUUACACAUAUUCCAGAACCCGAUGCUCAAGUUUCUUUGUCCUUUAGUUUUCCUCCUUUAUUAAUAAUUUGACAUCUUGAUGCAUUAUUCAUACAAUGGUUAAGAAUUGUAAAUCAUGAUAUAUAUCUUGAUGCACUGUUGAUACACGUUUUAUGAAUUGUAAAUCAUGAUCUAUGGACCUCCUAAAUUAAUUGUCAUUGUAUUUUAAUAUUGCAGCCACAAGCCCGACCAUUUGUGGAAAGUCUUCAGGCAAACGUUCAGCAACCUGGUGCUCAAGAUGAACGUGUAAAGAGACGAGCUAAAACAUUACUAGCGUUUCUGACGGUGGGGAUUCAAAUUGCGGCUUUGGCCGCUGGUUGCGCCUGUUGAACCUAUGGAUAUGUGGCGGCGGGGAUUCAAAUUGGGGCUACGGUCUAUGGUUGCACCAUGUAAUGUGAUCUAUUUCAAGGGAACUGAUGAAGAAGAAGGAAAAGAGUUGCCUUUUCUUAGUUUUCUUAUCUUCUGUUAACAACUCAUGAGGAUAUUUGUUUAUUGCUUGGUUUUCAUGCGACUGUUAAACAAGAAAAUGACAUCUCAAGGUACAAUAGUACCAAACUUAUAGCUUGUGAUCAUCGUGAUCGACUUUCUUGUUGGUAGCUUUUUAUUCGGUGUUGUUCAACUUUUGGGCUCUUAUUUUUCUAUCUCUAUAUAUGUUUUGAUAGUAAGAUUUA
Molecule: non-coding RNA, 1119 nt
Organism: Corylus avellana
Lineage: Eukaryota; Viridiplantae; Streptophyta; Magnoliopsida; Fagales; Betulaceae
Source: RefSeq, a predicted model, not a curated record